GACGAACGCUGGCGGCGUGCUUAACACAUGCAAGUCGAACGGAAAGGCCCUGCUUGCAGGGUACUCGAGUGGCGAACGGGUGAGUAACACGUGGGUGAUCUGCCCUGCACUUCGGGAUAAGCUUGGGAAACUGGGUCUAAUACCGGAUAGGAACCAUCUUUAGUGUGGUGGUUGGAAAGUUUUUUCGGUGUAGGAUGAGCUCGCGGCCAAUCAGCUUGUUGGUGGGGUAAUGGCCUACCAAGGCGGCGACGGGUAGCCGGCCUGAGAGGGUGUACGGCCACAUUGGGACUGAGAUACGGCCCAGACUCCUACGGGAGGCAGCAGUGGGGAAUAUUGCACAAUGGGCGCAAGCCUGAUGCAGCGACGCCGCGUGGGGGAUGAAGGCCUUCGGGUUGUAAACUCCUUUCGCUAGGGACGAAGCUCUUUGUGACGGUACCUAGAUAAGAAGCACCGGCUAACUACGUGCCAGCAGCCGCGGUAAUACGUAGGGUGCGAGCGUUGUCCGGAAUUACUGGGCGUAAAGGGCUCGUAGGUGGUUUGUCGCGUCGUCUGUGGAAUUCUGGGGCUUAACUCCGGGCGUGCAGGCGAUACGGGCAUAACUUGAGUGCUGUAGGGGUAACUGGAAUUCCUGGUGUAGCGGUGAAAUGCGCAGAUAUCAGGAGGAACACCGAUGGCGAAGGCAGGUUACUGGGCAGU
Molecule: ribosomal RNA, 696 nt
Filed under: uncultured Actinomycetales bacterium
Lineage: Bacteria; Bacillati; Actinomycetota; Actinomycetes; Actinomycetales
Description: bacterial SSU rRNA
Rfam family: Bacterial small subunit ribosomal RNA
Source: RNAcentral